AGAGUUUGAUCCUGGCUCAGAUUGAACGCUGGCGGCAGGCCUAACACAUGCAAGUCGAGCGGUAACACAGGGAGCUUGCUCCCGGGUGACGAGCGGCGGACGGGUGAGUAAUGUCUGGGAAACUGCCUGAUGGAGGGGGAUAACUACUGGAAACGGUAGCUAAUACCGCAUAAUGUCGCAAGACCAAAGAGGGGGACCUUCGGGCCUCUUGCCAUCAGAUGUGCCCAGAUGGGAUUAGCUAGUAGGUGGGGUAAUGGCUCACCUAGGCGACGAUCCCUAGCUGGUCUGAGAGGAUGACCAGCCACACUGGAACUGAGACACGGUCCAGACUCCUACGGGAGGCAGCAGUGGGGAAUAUUGCACAAUGGGCGCAAGCCUGAUGCAGCCAUGCCGCGUGUAUGAAGAAGGCCUUCGGGUUGUAAAGUACUUUCAGCGGGGAGGAAGGCGAUAAGGUUAAUAACCUUGUCGAUUGACGUUACCCGCAGAAGAAGCACCGGCUAACUCCGUGCCAGCAGCCGCGGUAAUACGGAGGGUGCAAGCGUUAAUCGGAAUUACUGGGCGUAAAGCGCACGCAGGCGGUCUGUCAAGUCGGAUGUGAAAUCCCCGGGCUCAACCUGGGAACUGCAUUCGAAACUGGCAGGCUAGAGUCUUGUAGAGGGGGGUAGAAUUCCAGGUGUAGCGGUGAAAUGCGUAGAGAUCUGGAGGAAUACCGGUGGCGAAGGCGGCCCCCUGGACAAAGACUGACGCUCAGGUGCGAAAGCGUGGGGAGCAAACAGGAUUAGAUACCCUGGUAGUCCACGCCGUAAACGAUGUCGACUUGGAGGUUGUGCCCUUGAGGCGUGGCUUCCGGAGCUAACGCGUUAAGUCGACCGCCUGGGGAGUACGGCCGCAAGGUUAAAACUCAAAUGAAUUGACGGGGGCCCGCGCAAGCGGUGGAGCAUGUGGUUUAAUUCGAUGCAACGCGAAGAACCUUACCUACUCUUGACAUCCAGAGAACUUUCCAGAGAUGGAUUGGUGCCUUCGGGAACUCUGAGACAGGUGCUGCAUGGCUGUCGUCAGCUCGUGUUGUGAAAUGUUGGGUUAAGUCCCGCAACGAGCGCAACCCUUAUCCUUUGUUGCCAGCGGUCCGGCCGGGAACUCAAAGGAGACUGCCAGUGAUAAACUGGAGGAAGGUGGGGAUGACGUCAAGUCAUCAUGGCCCUUACGAGUAGGGCUACACACGUGCUACAAUGGCGCAUACAAAGAGAAGCGACCUCGCGAGAGCAAGCGGACCUCAUAAAGUGCGUCGUAGUCCGGAUUGGAGUCUGCAACUCGACUCCAUGAAGUCGGAAUCGCUAGUAAUCGUAGAUCAGAAUGCUACGGUGAAUACGUUCCCGGGCCUUGUACACACCGCCCGUCACACCAUGGGAGUGGGUUGCAAAAGAAGUAGGUAGCUUAACCUUCGGGAGGGCGCUUACCACUUUGUGAUUCAUGACUGGGGUGAAGUCGUAACAAGGUAGCCGUA
Molecule: ribosomal RNA, 1504 nt
Filed under: Klebsiella aerogenes
Lineage: Bacteria; Pseudomonadati; Pseudomonadota; Gammaproteobacteria; Enterobacterales; Enterobacteriaceae
Description: bacterial SSU rRNA
Rfam family: Bacterial small subunit ribosomal RNA
Source: RNAcentral